This 952-nucleotide long non-coding RNA is filed under the name Homo sapiens (human). RNAcentral's name for it is "long non-coding RNA NONHSAT157339.1". The record is from RNAcentral. Lineage: Eukaryota; Metazoa; Chordata; Mammalia; Primates; Hominidae.
GGAGAAUCCAGCAAAAGGAAAAAAAGGACAGUUGAAGAUGACUUACUGCUCCAAAAACCAUUUCAGAAAGAAAAACAUGGAAAGGUGGCCCAUAAACAAGUUGCAGCAGAAUUGCUGGAUAGGGAAGAAGCAAGAAAUAGAAGGUUUCAUCUCAUAGCUAUGGAUGCUUAUCAAAGACAUACAAAGUUCGUAAAUGACUAUAUUUUAUACUAUGGUGGCAAAAAAGAAGACUUCAAGCGUUUGGGGGAAAAUGACAAGACAGACUUGGAUGUUAUACGAGAAAAUCAUAGAUUCCUAUGGAAUGAGGAGGACGAAAUGGACAUGACUUGUUUGGAUUUAGGUGGCGAGUAGAAAAAGAAGUAAUUUCAGGAAAAGGUCAAUUUUUCUGUGGAAAUAAAUAUUGUGAUAAAAAAGAAGGCUUAAAGAGUUGGGAAGUUAAUUUUGGUUAUAUUGAGCAUGGUGAGAAGAGAAAUGCACUUGUUAAAUUAAGGUUAUGCCAAGAAUGUUCCAUUAAAUUAAAUUUCCAUCACAGAAAAGAAAUCAAGUCAAAAAAAAGAAAAGAUAAAACCAAAAAAGACUGUGAAGAGUCAUCACAUAAAAAAUCCAGAUUAUCUUCUGCAGAAGAGGCCUCCAAGAAAAAAGAUAAAGGACAUUCAUCUUCAAAGAAAUCUGAAGAUUCUCUACUUAGAAACUCUGAUGAGGAAGAAAGUGCUUCAGAAUCUGAACUUUGGAAGGGUCCACUACCAGAGACAGAUGAAAAAUCACAGGAAGAAGAAUUUGAUGAGUAUUUUCAGGAUUUGUUUCUAUGAGACGAGAGAGAGAAGCCUCCGCUCCUUAAUGUGAAACUUCAUGAAGUUUUAAACUUCAUGCAAUUUGAAAUUCCAUAUAAGUUUUUAUCUGCAAGUUACAGCUUGUGUGGUUUGUCUUUGGAAAUAAAAAUCCAGGUUCUCUC